GCUUGCUUCUCUGAUGUUAGCGGCGGGAGGGUGAGUAACACGUGGAUAACCUACCUAUAAGACUGGGAUAACUUCGGGAAACCGGAGCUAAUACCGGAUAAUAUUUUGAACCGCAUGGUUCAAAAGUGAAAGACGGUCUUGCUGUCACUUAUAGAUGGAUCCGCGCUGCAUUAGCUAGUUGGUAAGGUAACGGCUUACCAAGGCAACGAUGCAUAGCCGACCUGAGAGGGUGAUCGGCCACACUGGAACUGAGACACGGUCCAGACUCCUACGGGAGGCAGCAGUAGGGAAUCUUCCGCAAUGGGCGAAAGCCUGACGGAGCAACGCCGCGUGAGUGAUGAAGGUCUUCGGAUCGUAAAACUCUGUUAUUAGGGAAGAACAUAUGUGUAAGUAACUGUGCACAUCUUGACGGUACCUAAUCAGAAAGCCACGGCUAACUACGUGCCAGCAGCCGCGGUAAUACGUAGGUGGCAAGCGUUAUCCGGAAUUAUUGGGCGUAAAGCGCGCGUAGGCGGUUUUUUAAGUCUGAUGUGAAAGCCCACGGCUCAACCGUGGAGGGUCAUUGGAAACUGGAAAACUUGAGUGCAGAAGAGGAAAGUGGAAUUCCAUGUGUAGCGGUGAAAUGCGCAGAGAUAUGGAGGAACACCAGUGGCGAAGGCGACUUUCUGGUCUGUAACUGACGCUGAUGUGUGAAAGCGUGGGGAUCAAACAGGAUUAGAUACCCUGGUAGUCCACGCCGUAAACGAUGAGUGCUCAAGUGUUAGGGGGUUUCCGCCCCCUUAGUGCUGCAGCUAACGCAUUAAGCACUCCGCC
This 813-nucleotide ribosomal RNA is filed under the name uncultured Staphylococcus sp. RNAcentral's name for it is "bacterial SSU rRNA". It matches the Rfam family "Bacterial small subunit ribosomal RNA", at positions 78 to 873 of the family's 1533-position model. Lineage: Bacteria; Bacillati; Bacillota; Bacilli; Caryophanales; Staphylococcaceae. The record is from RNAcentral.